UACGUAGGGGGCGAGCGUUGUCCGGAUUUACUGGGCGUAAAGCGCGUGUAGGCGGCUGCUUAAGUCGGGUGUGAAAGCCCGGGGCUCAACCCCGGGAGGCGGGUGGAUACUGUCAAGCUCGAGUCCGGAAGAGGCGAGUGGAAUUCCUGGUGUAGCGGUGAAAUGCGCAGAUAUCAGGAGGAACACCAAUGGCGAAGGCAGCUCGCUGGGACGUGACUGACGCUGAGACGCGAAAGCGUGGGGAGCAAACAGG
This 253-nucleotide ribosomal RNA is filed under the name uncultured bacterium. RNAcentral's name for it is "partial 16S ribosomal RNA". It matches the Rfam family "Bacterial small subunit ribosomal RNA", at positions 524 to 776 of the family's 1533-position model. The record is from RNAcentral.